Molecule: ribosomal RNA, 253 nt
Filed under: uncultured bacterium
Lineage: Bacteria
Description: partial 16S ribosomal RNA
Rfam family: Bacterial small subunit ribosomal RNA
Source: RNAcentral
UACGGGGGGGGCAAGCGUUGUUCGGAAUUACUGGGCGUAAAGGGCGCGUAGGCGGCCUGCUAAGUCGAACGUGAAAUCCCCGGGCUCAACCCGGGAACUGCGUCCGAUACUGGAAGGCUUGAAUCCGGGAGAGGGAUGUGGAAUUCCAGGUGUAGCGGUGAAAUGCGUAGAUAUCUGGAGGAACACCGGUGGCGAAGGCGGCAUCCUGGACCGGUAUUGACGCUGAGGCGCGAAAGCCAGGGGAGCAAACGGG